This 468-nucleotide ribosomal RNA is filed under the name uncultured bacterium. RNAcentral's name for it is "partial 16S ribosomal RNA". It matches the Rfam family "Bacterial small subunit ribosomal RNA", at positions 28 to 507 of the family's 1533-position model. The record is from RNAcentral.
GACGAACGCUGGCGGCGUGCUUAACACAUGCAAGUCGAACGGAAAGGCCCUGCUUAUGUGGGGUGCUCGAGUGGCGAACGGGUGAGUAACACGUGAGUAACCUGCCCUUGACUUUGGGAUAACUUCAGGAAACUGGGGCUAAUACCGGAUAGGAGCUCCUGCUGCAUGGUGGGGGUUGGAAAGUUUCGGCGGUUGGGGAUGGACUCGCGGCUUAUCAGCUUGUUGGUGGGGUAGUGGCUUACCAAGGCUUUGACGGGUAGCCGGCCUGAGAGGGUGACCGGCCACAUUGGGACUGAGAUACGGCCCAGACUCCUCCGGGAGGCAGCAGUGGGGAAUAUUGCACAAUGGGCGGAAGCCUGAUGCAGCAACGCCGCGUGCGGGAUGACGGCAUUCGGGUUGUAAACCGCUUUCGCCUGUGACGAAGCGUGAGUGACGGUAAUGGGUAAAGAAGCACCGGCUAACUACGUG